CAAUAGCGUAUAUUUAAGUUGCUGCAGUUAAAAAGCUCGUAGUUGGAUUUCGGGUGGGAAUGGCCGGUCCGCCGUUUCGGUGUGCACUUGCUACGCCCACCUUGCUGCCGGGGACGUGCUCUUGAGUUCACGCUCGGGACACGGAGUCGGCGAGGUUACUUUGAGUAAAUUAGAGUGUUCAAAGCAGGCCUACGCUCUGAAUACAUUAGCAUGGAAUAACACGAUAGGACUCUGGCCUAUCUUGUUGGUCUGUAGGACCGGAGUAAUGAUUAAGAGGGACAGUCGGGGGCAUUCGUAUUUCAUUGUCAGAGGUGAAAUUCUUGGAUUUAUGAAAGACGAACGACUGCGAAAGCAUUUGCCAAGGAUGUUUUCAUUAA
This 377-nucleotide ribosomal RNA is filed under the name uncultured eukaryote. Its description in RNAcentral is "partial 18S ribosomal RNA". It matches the Rfam family "Eukaryotic small subunit ribosomal RNA", at positions 592 to 976 of the family's 1831-position model. The record is from RNAcentral.